Long non-coding RNA from Dromiciops gliroides (monito del monte), 626 nucleotides. RefSeq lists it as uncharacterized. The transcript has 5 exons. The record is from RefSeq and is a predicted model, not a curated record. Lineage: Eukaryota; Metazoa; Chordata; Mammalia; Microbiotheria; Microbiotheriidae.
GGAGAAAGAGGAGUGGGGUGGCCGCAGUGGCGGCAGCAGCAGCAGCAGCAACCGCGGUGGCGGUGACUGCGGGUACUACUCGCAGGCCUCGGGUGCUGCUGCUGCUGGCGGUGGAAGCUUGUGGUGUAUCGGUGACUCCUUGGGAGAAGUAGCAGCUGCCGCAGCCACACGGCGGGGUGGGGGGAGGGGGGGAGAGGGAAGAAGCCGCCGGAGCCUCGGGAGCCGCCAGACGUUCGCACGCAUUUGAAGAUUUGAUGACAUGCUACAAAGAGCACUUUGAACCUACAUUUUUCUGAAGAAUUCAUUUAAAAGGUCUCAGAAGUACAAGAGGUAGAUGUACAAAUGUCUACCACAAGACGAAAGCGCAGCAUGUUAUGUACUUUACCAUAAGCUGUCAUAAAAUGAGCUCAAUUGCAGACAGGGAUGACGGUAGUAUUUUCGAUGGACUGGUGGAAGAAGAUGACAAGGAUAAAGCAAAAAGAGUAUCUAGAAAACAAAUUCUGAGAAGAAAACGCAGAGAUCAGUUUAAUGUUCUCAUCAAGAAUUGGGAUCUAUGCUUCCUGGUAAUGCUCGGAAGAUGGACAAAUCCACUGUACUACAAAAAAGCAUUGAUUUUUUACGGAAGC